GUUUUCCUCCACUUGGGAUUCUAAGUUUAUUCAAAGCACAUAAGCAUAUGAGGACUUCCCAAAAUGUAGAGCAAUCCCUGCUGCAUGAAAACAGACAGAUUGCAUUUAUUUCCAUUAUAAUGGGGAUAAUGUUUAUCGCAUCAAUUACUGUUGUACUUUUGUUGCUUCUUCUACAUUAUCAACAAGAAGCUGAUGCAAUGAAGCUAACAUGGAAAAGAAAGUACUAUCAUACGACUUUAAAUCUUACCAUUGGAUUUCACAAAAACUGAAUAGAUUGUAUGCUGUAAACUUAACAUAUCUUUAUAGAUAAAGAUAUUAAAGUCUGUAAAAAUAAAAUAGUUAAACAACCCA
Long non-coding RNA from Xenia sp. Carnegie-2017, 351 nucleotides. RefSeq lists it as uncharacterized. NCBI's taxonomy places the organism in Eukaryota, Metazoa, Cnidaria, Anthozoa, Malacalcyonacea, Xeniidae. The transcript has 2 exons. The record is from RefSeq and is a predicted model, not a curated record.